Molecule: ribosomal RNA, 484 nt
Filed under: uncultured bacterium
Lineage: Bacteria
Description: bacterial SSU rRNA
Rfam family: Bacterial small subunit ribosomal RNA
Source: RNAcentral
GAUGAACGCUAGCGGCAGGCUUAACACAUGCAAGUCGAGGGGUAGAGGAAGCUUGCUUCCUUGAGACCGGCGCACGGGUGCGUAACGCGUAUACAAUCUACCUUUUACAGAGGGAUAGCCCAGAGAAAUUUGGAUUAAUACCUCAUAGUAUUUUCGGAUCGCAUGAUUUGAUUAUUAAAGUUCCAACGGUAAAGAUGAGUAUGCGUCCCAUUAGCUAGAUGGUAAGGUAACGGCUUACCAUGGCAAUGAUGGGUAGGGGUCCUGAGAGGGAGAUCCCCCACACUGGUACUGAGACACGGACCAGACUCCUACGGGAGGCAGCAGUGAGGAAUAUUGGACAAUGGGCGCAAGCCUGAUCCAGCCAUGCCGCGUGCAGGAUGACGGUCCUAUGGAUUGUAAACUGCUUUUAUACAGGAAGAAACACUCCGACGUGUCGGAGCUUGACGGUACUGUAAGAAUAAGGAUCGGCUAACUCCGUGCCAGC